AGGGAACAGGCAUAAAAUGGGACAAAAAUAAGAAACUUUAUUUUUCCUGGGAAAGAUUCAAAUACAUACAAAUUCAACAUUCUAUCAAGUGGAAAAGGAGAAAAGUAAUACCUGAUCUGACUAUCAACACUAUCACGCAUCCGUAUUCUUCUGCAAAAAAAUUUUUUAUUGCCUCUUCUUCAGUUUCCAUACAUUUUACAACUUUUAUAAUUACUUUACUAUGAGGUGUUGUUAUUAUUCUCCUAAUUAUUUUGUUUAUAUUUUCAAAUCACGAUUCAAUUUAAUCAAUAACGUUAUAUUCAAUUAAAAGAUGCAACCCAAAAAUGGUCAAAUGCAUUUGGACUUUUACGAAGAUGAUUAAUUAUGUACUCUUGAGUUUUUUAUUUUUAUUUUUUACAUUUAAGAUUAUAAUUUUUUAAAAUGUAAUGAAUAUUUACAAAGUGCAUAUUACACCAUGAAUUAGCUAAAAGAAAAAAAUAUUACUG
Molecule: long non-coding RNA, 485 nt
Filed under: Solanum tuberosum (potato)
Lineage: Eukaryota; Viridiplantae; Streptophyta; Magnoliopsida; Solanales; Solanaceae
Description: long non-coding RNA (STUB_LNC002138)
Source: RNAcentral